RNAcentral lists this unclassified non-coding RNA (147 nucleotides) under soil metagenome. Its description in RNAcentral is "partial internal transcribed spacer 1". The record is from RNAcentral.
CCGAGUUUACAACUCCCAAACCCCUGUGAACAUACCAAUUGUUGCCUCGGCGGAUCAGCCCGCUCCCGGUAAAAUGGGACGGCCCGCCAGAGGACCCCUAAACUCUGUUUCUAUAUGUAACUUCUGAGUAAAACCAUAAAUAAAUCA